RNAcentral lists this unclassified non-coding RNA (224 nucleotides) under Hevea brasiliensis (rubber tree). The record is from RNAcentral. Lineage: Eukaryota; Viridiplantae; Streptophyta; Magnoliopsida; Malpighiales; Euphorbiaceae.
GGGUAUCUAAUGGACUGCACGCAUAUAUACACGCAUGAGAGGGAAAAGCUUAUCAGAAAAGGAAAGAAAGACCACACAGAUUUUGUGUGCUUUGAAUUCUUUUGAAGGUAAAUCUCAGUUGUAAAUAGGCUACGGUGGAUUUUGUAAAAUUUAUCGGAAAUUUUCGCUCGAAACCGAGUCAGGCGCCUGAGUUCAAUUUUGACAGAAUUCCGCUUCUCGGAUUU